GGAACAUGAAGGAUUUUUCUGGGGUUUUCUGUACUUGGCUACGAAGCUUCUACAUUCAUUUGUUUUGUUUUUCUUUUCUGAACGUAGAAUUUGCACGAUUGUCACUAUGACUUUCUCACAACUGCAAAAUCAUAACUAGUGAACCACAACUUCGUCUAGACAAGAAAAAAAAAAUUAUUAUGGCAAAUAAUUAGGACUCGAAAAAUGCCAUAGAAACAGAUUAUAUUAAAGGAGCAGGAAGAAGAGAAUAGCCAAAACAAGAUGAUAAAUUACAAAAUCAUUUAAGGACGUUGAACCUAAUUCCUUUUACCCCGGUUUUUCCUUGAUGAAACAACCGUCCAUCCAUCUUCUCCUUGAGCCUCCUGGCCAUUGGGAUCAUCAACCUGCAUGUUCACCUGAUUUGAUUUCGACUGAAAUUUUGGUGCAUCAACUAUCAUUCUUGAUCUAUCAUCCAUCCUAUCAUCAUUGUCAU
This 472-nucleotide unclassified non-coding RNA is filed under the name Hevea brasiliensis (rubber tree). The record is from RNAcentral. Lineage: Eukaryota; Viridiplantae; Streptophyta; Magnoliopsida; Malpighiales; Euphorbiaceae.